ACCAUCAUUGUCAUCAUCAUCAUCAAGGUAAUCUGGUAUGCCAUCACUGUCUGAGUCUUUUUCCAUAAAAUCUGGAAUACCAUUACCAUCUUUGUCAGUGUCAUUAAUAUCUGGCACACCAUCAUUAUCAUCAUCAGCAUCAAGAUAAUCAGGGACUCCAUCUCCAUCAGUAUCAUCUUCUUCAACAUCUGGAAUACCAUCCCCAUCAGCAUCAGCAUCUUCAUCAUCAGGAAUGCCAUCAUUGUCAUCA
Biomphalaria pfeifferi is the source of this 250-nucleotide non-coding RNA. The record is from the annotation of a GenBank genome assembly. NCBI's taxonomy places the organism in Eukaryota, Metazoa, Mollusca, Gastropoda, Planorbidae.